Molecule: long non-coding RNA, 920 nt
Organism: Alosa sapidissima (American shad)
Lineage: Eukaryota; Metazoa; Chordata; Actinopteri; Clupeiformes; Clupeidae
Exons: 5
Source: RefSeq, a predicted model, not a curated record
GAGUCACCGAGUAUCCUUUUUCUAGUCUGCCUCAUGAUACAAUGCCACGGGUCCAGUCAUUUCCAUUACCUACAGAAAGGAGAGGAGGAUAUACUGUCCUGUGGAACAUGUCAAUGGGAGGCUGAUGUGGACUCAGACAACAUAGUGGACUGCAGCUUAUCAAAGACCAGGAACUAUUCAACUAGACCAAAAUGUCCAGCUGCACCAAACCAAUGCAAUGAGAUAAAGAGAAACACAUCCAGAAUUGUGACAUCAGUGUAAAGAGGGGAUUCUUUGCUUGUGUUAAUGACUCUACAUAUGACUCCUGCUACAUUCAUCCAUUCAAACUCUCUGCUCAUCAUGUGGAGUCCUUCUUUGUUGCUCAGGAAGAACCAGACUUGGUGUCCGAACCCGUAAUGGAAAGCUCAGUGCAUGUGUCUGCAGGAGGAUCAAUUACUCUGACGUGCAUCUUUAAAACAAAGGGAAUUCCAAUCAGCCUUUUGUGGUGUACUGGAUUAAGACUGGUGUUAAUAGCAGCACAUGUGUGUACUCAUAUCAUUUUACUUCAUAUGCUGAUGCUGGUGGUUUUGAUGAACACUGUUCCAUUGACAAAGAUCUGCUGAGGAGAUCAAACACAUCCCACCCUUCUCUCACUGAUACCAACACCCAUAACCUGACGAUCAGUAAUGCCACUCACUCAGACAGUGGACAGUAUGUGUGUGCCUACAAGUGGACAAAAACGACCAGCAGCACUGGAGAGUAAUCACCAACACUACAGUCACUGUGGGUGAUACAGUCAAACCUGGGCCUGAUACGCAGAUUGCAGACGCAGAACAUUCUGAUAUAUACGUGAAUACCAGUGCAGGAGCUCAGAGAGAGGAUGAGCUCUAGUUGACUCAGAAGCCAUCACGACUCGUCACAAACCCACAUUUAGUGUUUGG